AUACGGAAGGUCCGGGCGUUAUCCGGAUUUAUUGGGUUUAAAGGGAGCGUAGGCCGCCUUUUAAGCGUGUUGUGAAAUGCAGUCGCUCAACGUCUGCACUGCAGCGCGAACUGGAGGGCUUGAGUGCACGGGAAGCUGGCGGAAUUCGUCGUGUAGCGGUGAAAUGCUUAGAUAUGACGAAGAACCCCGAUUGCGAAGGCAGCUGGCUGUAGUGCCACUGACGCUGAAGCUCGAAAGUGCGGGUAUC
This 247-nucleotide ribosomal RNA is filed under the name uncultured bacterium. Its description in RNAcentral is "partial 16S ribosomal RNA". It matches the Rfam family "Bacterial small subunit ribosomal RNA", at positions 523 to 769 of the family's 1533-position model. The record is from RNAcentral.